Molecule: ribosomal RNA, 747 nt
Filed under: uncultured bacterium
Lineage: Bacteria
Description: bacterial SSU rRNA
Rfam family: Bacterial small subunit ribosomal RNA
Source: RNAcentral
GUCGAAACGAGAAGUGGAGCAAUCCAUGAGUACAGUGGCGUACGGGUGAGUAACACGUGGGUGAUCUACCUCUUAGUGAGGAAUAACCCUGGGAAACCGGGGCUAAUACCGCAUAAGCCUGAGAAGGGAAAGUCGAAAGACGCUGAGAGAGGAGCCCGCGGCCGAUUAGCUAGUUGGUGAGGUAAGAGCCCACCAAGGCAGAGAUCGGUAGCCGGCCUGAGAGGGCACACGGCCACACUGGCACUGAAACACGGGCCAGACUCCUACGGGAGGCAGCAGUGGGGAAUCUUGCACAAUGGGGGAAACCCUGAUGCAGCGACGCCGCGUGAGCGAUGAAGCCCUUCGGGGUGUAAAGCUCUUUCGGCAGGGAAGAUAGUGACGGUACCUGCAGAAGCAGCUGCGGCUAACUACGUGCCAGCAGCCGCGGUAAUACGUAGGCAGCAAGCGUUGUUCGGAGUUACUGGGCGUAAAGGGUGUGUAGGCGGUUCUUUAAGUUUGGUGUGAAAUCUCCCGGCUCAACCGGGAGGGUGCGCCGAAUACUGAGGGACUAGAGUGCGGGAGAGGAAAGUGGAAUUCCUGGUGUAGCGGUGAAAUGCGUAGAUAUCAGGAGGAACACCGGUGGUGUAGACGGCUUUCUGGACCGUAACUGACGCUGAGACACGAAAGCGUGGGUAGCAAACAGGAUUAGAUACCCUGGUAGUCCACGCCCUAAACGAUGCAUAUUUGGUGUGGGUCAUUCAGUUGAUC